This 570-nucleotide ribosomal RNA is filed under the name Cryptorhynchinae gen. sp. ARC4836. RNAcentral describes it as "SSU rRNA". It matches the Rfam family "Eukaryotic small subunit ribosomal RNA", at positions 30 to 581 of the family's 1831-position model. Lineage: Eukaryota; Metazoa; Arthropoda; Insecta; Coleoptera; Curculionidae. The record is from RNAcentral.
GCUUGUCUCAAAGAUUAAGCCAUGCAUGUUCUCAGUACAAGCCAAAUUAAGGUGAAACCGCGAAAGGCUCAUUAAAUCAGUUAUGGUUCCUUAGAUCGUACCCACAAUUACUUGGAUAACUGUGGUAAUUCUAGAGCUAAUACAUGCAAACAGAGCUCCGACCGGAGACGGAAGGAGUGCUUUUAUUAGAUCAAAACCAAUCGGUGGCGGGCUCGUCAUCGUACAACUUGGUGACUCUGAAUAACUUUACGCUGAUCGCACGGUCAUCGCACCGGCGACGCAUCUUUCAAAUGUCUGCCUUAUCAACUGUCGAUGGUAGGUUCUGCGCCUACCAUGGUUGUAACGGGUAACGGGGAAUCAGGGUUCGAUUCCGGAGAGGGAGCCUGAGAAACGGCUACCACAUCCAAGGAAGGCAGCAGGCGCGCAAAUUACCCACUCCCGGCACGGGGAGGUAGUGACGAAAAAUAACGAUACGGGACUCAUCCGAGGCCCCGUAAUCGGAAUGAGUACACUCUAAACCCUUUAACGAGGAUCAAUUGGAGGGCAAGUCUGGUGCCAGCAGCCGCGGUA